RNAcentral lists this ribosomal RNA (821 nucleotides) under [Sporobolomyces] sp. 'nakasei'. RNAcentral's name for it is "LSU rRNA". It matches the Rfam family "Eukaryotic large subunit ribosomal RNA", at positions 62 to 903 of the family's 3401-position model. The record is from RNAcentral. Lineage: Eukaryota; Fungi; Basidiomycota; Microbotryomycetes; Sporidiobolales; Sporidiobolaceae.
AAACUAACAAGGAUUCCCCUAGUAGCGGCGAGCGAAGCGGGAAAAGCUCAAAUUUGUAAUCUGGCGUCUUCGACGUCCGAGUUGUAAUCUCGAGAAGUGUUUUCCGUGAUAGACCGCAUACAAGUCUCUUGGAACAGAGCGUUAUAGUGGUGAGAACCCAGUACACGAUGCGGAUGCCUAUUACUUUGUGAUACACUUUCGAAGAGUCGAGUUGUUUGGGAAUGCAGCUCAAAUUGGGUGGUAAAUUCCAUCUAAAGCUAAAUAUUGGCGAGAGACCGAUAGCGAACAAGUACCGUGAGGGAAAGAUGAAAAGCACUUUGGAAAGAGAGUUAACAGUACGUGAAAUUGUUGGAAGGGAAACACAUGCAGUGAUACUUGCUAUUCGGGGCAACUCGAUUGGCAGGCCCGCAUCAGUUUUCCGGGGCGGAAAAGCAUAGAGAGAAGGUAGCAGUUUCGGCUGUGUUAUAGCUCUUUAUUGGAUUCGCCCUGGGGGAUUGAGGAACGCAGCGUGCUUUUUGCAUGAGCUUCGGCUUAUCCACGCUUAGGAUGCGGGUUUAUGGCUGUAUAUGACCCGUCUUGAAACACGGACCAAGGAGUCUAACAUGCUUGCGAGUAUUUGGGUGUCAAACCCGGAUGCGCAAUGAAAGUGAAUGGAGGUGGGAAGCGCAAGCUGCACCAUCGACCGAUCUGGAUUUUUUAAGAUGGAUUUGAGUAAGAGCAAGUAUGUUGGGACCCGAAAGAUGGUGAACUAUGCCUGAAUAGGGCGAAGCCCGAGGAAACUCUGGUGGAGGCUCGUAGCGGUUCUGACGUGCAAAUCGAUC